AAAGAAACCAACAGGGAUUGCCCUAGUAACGGCGAGUGAAGCGGCAACAGCUCAAAUUUGAAAUCUGGCCCUCGGGUCCGAGUUGUAAUUUGUAGAGGAUGCUUUUGGUGAGGUGCCUUCCGAGUUCCCUGGAACGGGACGCCAUAGAGGGUGAGAGCCCCGUCUGGUUGGACACCAAACCUCUGUAAAGCUCCUUCGACGAGUCGAGUAGUUUGGGAAUGCUGCUCUAAAUGGGAGGUAUAUGUCUUCUAAAGCUAAAUACCGGCCAGAGACCGAUAGCGCACAAGUAGAGUGAUCGAAAGAUGAAAAGCACUUUGAAAAGAGAGUUAAAAAGUACGUGAAAUUGUUGAAAGGGAAGCGCUUAUGACCAGACUUGGGCUUGGUUGAUCAUCCUGGGUUCUCCCUGGUGCACUCUUCCAGUUCAGGCCAGCAUCAGUUCGCUGCGGGGGAUAAAAGUUUUGGGAAUGUGGCUCCCUCGGGAGUGUUAUAGCCCAUUGCAUAAUACCCUGCUCCGGACUGAGGUUCGCGCAUCUGCAAGGAUGCUGGCGUAAUGGUCAUCAGCGACCCGUCUUGAAACACGGACCAAGGAGUCGUCUUCGUAUGCGAGUGUUCGGGUGUUAAACCCCUACGCGUAAUGAAAGUGAACGCAGGUGAGAGCUUCGGCGCAUCAUCGACCGAUCCUGAUGUUCUCGGAUGGAUUUGAGUAAGAGCAUACGGGGCCGGACCCGAAAGAAGGUGAACUAUGCCUGUAUAGGGUGAAGCCAGAGGAAACUCUGGUGGAGGCUCGCAGCGGUUCUGACGUGCAAAUCGAUCGUCAAAUAUGGGCAUGGGGCGAAAGACUAAUCGUAUCCUUCUAGUAGCUGGUUUCCGCCGAAGUUUCCCUCAGGA
RNAcentral lists this ribosomal RNA (888 nucleotides) under Calonectria ecuadorae. RNAcentral describes it as "eukaryotic LSU rRNA". It matches the Rfam family "Eukaryotic large subunit ribosomal RNA", at positions 58 to 978 of the family's 3401-position model. Lineage: Eukaryota; Fungi; Ascomycota; Sordariomycetes; Hypocreales; Nectriaceae. The record is from RNAcentral.